CCUACGGGAGGCAGCAGUGAGGAAUAUUGGUCAAUGGACGAGAGUCUGAACCAGCCAAGUAGCGUGAAGGAUGACUGCCCUAUGGGUUGUAAACUUCUUUUAUAUGGGAAUAAAAUGUUCCACGUGUGGGUUUUUGUAUGUACCAUAUGAAUAAGGAUCGGCUAACUCCGUGCCAGCAGCCGCGGUAAUACGGAGGAUCCGAGCGUUAUCCGGAUUUAUUGGGUUUAAAGGGAGCGUAGGUGGAUUGUUAAGUCAGUUGUGAAAGUUUGCGGCUCAACCGUAAAAUUGCAGUUGAGACUGGCAGUCUUGAGUACAGUAGAGGUGGGCGGAAUUCGUGGUGUAGCGGUGAAAUGCUUAGAUAUCACGAAGAACUCCGAUUGCGAAGGCAGCUCACUGGACUGCAACUGACACUGAGGCUCGAAAGUGUGGGUAUCAAACAGGAUUAGAUACCCCUGUAGUC
RNAcentral lists this ribosomal RNA (460 nucleotides) under uncultured bacterium. RNAcentral's name for it is "partial 16S ribosomal RNA". It matches the Rfam family "Bacterial small subunit ribosomal RNA", at positions 338 to 795 of the family's 1533-position model. The record is from RNAcentral.